UUAAGCUACAAAGGGCAUACGGUGGAUGCCUAGGCAUUGAGAGUCGAUGAAGGACGCGGUAAGCUGCGAAAAGGUAUGGGGAGCCGCAAGCAGGCAAUGAUCCAUACAUCUCCGAAUGGGGCAACCCGGUACGAGUCAUGUCGUACCAUCCUACGGGAGGAUAACCCGGUGAACUGAAACAUCUAAGUAGCCGGAGGAAGAGUAAUCAAACGAGAUUCCCAUAGUAGCGGCGAGCGAACAGGGAAGAGCCCAAACCCGUUGUCUUCGGACGACGGGGGUUGAGGACCAGCAUAAAUCAAAGAAGUGUUAGAAGAAGGGCAUGGGAAGGCCUGGCGCAGAGGGUGAGACCCCCGUAUUUAAAAACAUUUCGAGAGGGCUGGUAUCCAGAGUACCACGAGACACGUGAAACCUUGUGGGAAGCAGGGUGGACCACCAUCCAAGGCAAAAUACUACUCAAUGACCGAUAGCGCAUAGUACCGUGAGGGAAAGGUGAAAAGUACCCCUGGAGGGGAGUGAAAUAGAACCUGAAACCGUAUGUCUACAAGCAGUCGAAGCACUUUAUAUGUGCGACGGCGUGCCUAUUGAAGAAUGAACCGGCGAGUUAUCCGUUGUGGCGAGGUUAAGUGGAAGACACGGAGCCGAAGCGAAAGCGAGUCUUAAUAGGGCGACAGUCACAGCGGGUAGACCCGAAACCACAGUGAUCUAUGCAUGGCCAGGUUGAAGCUCAGGUAAAAAUGAGUGGAGGACCGAACCCGUGAGUGUUGAAAAACUUUGGGAUGAGCUGUGCAUAGGGGUGAAAUGCCAAUCGAACGUGGAGAUAGCUGGUUCUCCCCGAAAUAGCUUUAGGGCUAGCCUCAGGGAAUGCACAUAGACGGUAGAGCUCUGAUCGGGCUAGGGGGCGUAAAGCCUACCGACCCCAGUCAAACUGCGAAUGGCUAUGUGAGAAGAACCUGGGAGUCAGACUGCGAGUGAUAAGACCCGUAGUCAAGAGGGAAACAGCCCAGACCGCCGACUAAGGUCCCAAAUGCUGUACUAAGUGGAAAAGGAUGUAGGACUUCAGAAACAACCAGGAUGUUGGCUCAGAAGCAGCCACCAUUUAAAGAGUGCGUAAUAGCUCACUGGUCGAGAGGCCCUGCGCCGAAAAUAUCCGGGGCUCAAGUACAGAACCGAAGUCGCGGCAUGGUAUGUCAUACACAGAGCGUCUAUGAAAGUAAUGAGGAUAUUUUGUCCGAACGAAGUGAGGACUAAAUACUCUUGUGGGGUUCGUACAGAACCGAUGGAUGUUGUGUGUAUGACAUACCUUGGGUAGGGGAGCGUUGAAACAGCGGAGAAGGCGUACCGUAAGGAGCGCUGGAGCGGUUUCAAGAGAGAAUGCCGGUAUGAGUAGCGAAAAGGACGGUGAGAAUCCGUCCCACCGAAAGCCUAAGGUUUCCUGAGCAACGCUCGUCGACUCAGGGUAAGUCGGGACCUAAGCCGAGGCAGCAAGCAUAGGCGAUGGACAACAGGCUAAUAUUCCUGUACCCGCAAGUUUUGUUUGAGCAAUGGAGUGACGCAGGAGAAAGUGGGAGCUGGCUGCUGGAAUAGCCAGUCGAAGGCUGCAGGCUGCGGAGGAGGCAAAUCCCUUCCGUAACGGCUCAGAGCUGAUAGAUAGACGACCUUCGGGGAGUCAAAUUUCCAUGAAUCACACUGCCGAGAAAAGCUUCUAGUGAGAAACUUGUGGCCCGUACCAAAACCGACACAGGUAGGCGGGGAGAGUAUCCUAAGGUGCGCGGGAAAACCCUCGUUAAGGAACUCGGCAAAAUGCAUCCGUAACUUCGGGAUAAGGAUGACCGGAGCUGGUGAACUCCCUGCGGAGGAAGCUGGAGCCGGUGGCAGAAGAGAGGCCCAAGCGACUGUUUACCAUAAACACAGGUGCCUGCUAAAGAGAAAUCUGACGUAUAGGUGCUGACACCUGCCCGGUGCUGGAAGGUUAAGAGGAGGGGUCAGGCGCAAGCUGAAGCUCUGAAUUGAAGCCCCAGUAAACGGCGGCCGUAACUAUAACGGUCCUAAGGUAGCGAAAUUCCUUGUCGGGU
This 2072-nucleotide ribosomal RNA is filed under the name human gut metagenome. RNAcentral's name for it is "bacterial LSU rRNA". It matches the Rfam family "Bacterial large subunit ribosomal RNA", at positions 3 to 1977 of the family's 2925-position model. The record is from RNAcentral.